This 253-nucleotide ribosomal RNA is filed under the name uncultured bacterium. RNAcentral's name for it is "partial 16S ribosomal RNA". It matches the Rfam family "Bacterial small subunit ribosomal RNA", at positions 524 to 776 of the family's 1533-position model. The record is from RNAcentral. RNAcentral also lists the same sequence under 1 other name.
UACGUAGGGGGCAAGCGUUGUCCGGAAUUAUUGGGCGUAAAGGGCGUGUAGGCGGUAUCAUAAGUCAGAUGUGAAAGUUCGGGGCUUAACCCCGGAAUUGCAUUUGAAACUGUAAUACUUGAGUACUGGAGAGGUAAGUGGAAUUCCUAGUGUAGCGGUGAAAUGCGUAGAUAUUAGGAGGAACACCAGUGGCGAAGGCGACUUACUGGACAGAUACUGACGCUGAGGCGCGAAAGCGUGGGGAGCAAACAGG